CUUGCGGUUCUGCAGAAAACAAUUUUGCAAACCGCUGGCCUUGAGGUGUUUUGAGCUUUGGCCUGAAGAAGGCCUGGCUGGAAUCCUGAGGCUACUGCUCACCUCCCUGGAGGCAAACCCCUGGGAAUUCCAGUCCUCCCUCUCCCCAGUUGAAGAUGCAGAUCAGGAUGUUUCCCUGACAGGGUGCUGCUGCAGGAACACUCAGUAAGGCAAGACUGUCAACUCGCAUGGCGCUCUUCCUCAAGCCCAUGGACAUCCCUGCAGGGCCGCAGCUGUUCAGUGGCGGAGCAGGUGGUGCUUACAUCCAACCAGUCCAAGGCCAAGUCGAAGACUCACCACCACCAUCCCAUGCUCUUUCCAAAAGAACAAAACGAAACAAGACGACGACGACAGCAACAACAACAGGAAGACAUUUUCAUCCUUGGGCAUGGGAGAACACAAUACUCUUCUUUUUUUUGUUUAUUUUUUUCCCCAUUAAGUUUAUUGGUACAUUUUAGGUAUAAAAUACAGUUACAUUCAUCAUUAGGAUCUUGUACCAUUACAUGAGUAUCUUGGUUCUUUUUUUUUUUCCCCUUCCCCUGCCCUCCCUUCACCCCCUCCACCCUUCCCUAUUUGCAAAGACUUUGUUUCCAUAUUUUUUCUUUUCUCAUAUUUUUUCUUUUCCCUUCUUUCCUUUCCCCUACCCCUCCCACUUCCUCUGUUCCUUUAGACCUUUACUUCCUAUUAUACAAUAUCAAUUAUACAUUUUAAAAAUUAAAAUAUCAAGACAAAGGAG
RNAcentral lists this long non-coding RNA (775 nucleotides) under Heterocephalus glaber (naked mole-rat). Its description in RNAcentral is "lncRNA (ENSHGLG00000041118.1)". Lineage: Eukaryota; Metazoa; Chordata; Mammalia; Rodentia; Bathyergidae. The record is from RNAcentral.